UAGGGAUACCCGCUGAACUUAAGCAUAUCAAUAA
This 34-nucleotide ribosomal RNA is filed under the name Coccomyces dentatus. Its description in RNAcentral is "partial 28S ribosomal RNA". Lineage: Eukaryota; Fungi; Ascomycota; Leotiomycetes; Rhytismatales; Rhytismataceae. The record is from RNAcentral.